AUUGAACGCUGGCGGCAGGCCUAACACAUGCAAGUCGAGCGAGAGGCGGGCGGGUGAGUAAAGUAUGGGGACAGCCCGCUAGAGGGGGGUAACAACUGGGAACGGUAGCUAAUACAGCAUACUAUCGGAUAACCCAUAUGGGAUUAGCUAGUAGGUGAGGGAAUGGCUCACCUAGGCGACGCUCCCUAGCUGGUCUGAGAGGAUGAGCAGCCACACUGGAACUGAGACACGGCCCAGACUCCUACGGAGGCAGCAGUGGGGAAUAUUGCACAAUGGGCGCAAGCCUGAUGCAGCCAUGCCGCGUGUAUGAAGAAGGCCCUAGGGUUGUAAAGUACUUUCAGUCGGGAGGCGUUACCGACAGAAGAAGCACCGGCUAACUCCGUGCCAGCAGCCGCGGUAAUUC
This 403-nucleotide ribosomal RNA is filed under the name uncultured bacterium. RNAcentral's name for it is "partial 16S ribosomal RNA". It matches the Rfam family "Bacterial small subunit ribosomal RNA", at positions 30 to 526 of the family's 1533-position model. The record is from RNAcentral.